AUACGGAGGGUGCAAGCGUUACUGGGAAUCACUGGGCGUAAAGCGCGCGCAGGCGGUUUGAUAAGUUGGAUGUGAAAUCCUAUGGCUCAACCAUAGAACUGCAUCCAAAACUGUCAAACUAGAGUCUGGGAGAGGAAGAUGGAAUUAGUUGUGUAGGGGUAAAAUCCGUAGAGAUAACUAGGAAUACCAAAAGCGAAGGCGAUCUUCUGGAACAGUACUGACGCUGAGGCGCGAAAGCGUGGGGAGCAAACAGGAUUAGAAACCCGAGUAGUCC
Molecule: ribosomal RNA, 274 nt
Filed under: uncultured bacterium
Lineage: Bacteria
Description: partial 16S ribosomal RNA
Rfam family: Bacterial small subunit ribosomal RNA
Source: RNAcentral